Molecule: long non-coding RNA, 279 nt
Organism: Equus quagga
Lineage: Eukaryota; Metazoa; Chordata; Mammalia; Perissodactyla; Equidae
Exons: 3
Source: RefSeq, a predicted model, not a curated record
GCGCCACUGAGCUCACAUGUCACCACCCCCCUACAUACCAGAGACCCUGUGGGCCAGCCUCGGAUGCACACAGGAUGGUGAUCUCCCAGAAUUCCAGGAGCUGUGGUGCUGGGGGAGCAGGCCUGCUGGGGGUCCCCUUCUUUUCGGGGAGCUGGCUGCCGCUUCUUGUUUUCAUUGGCUGGGCUUCUGGCUCAGGUCUGCAGGCAAACAGGCAAGAAUGAAGAUUAGCCCUGAGCUGACAUCUGCUGCCAAUCCUCCUCUUUUUCCUGAGGAAGACUG